Varroa destructor (honeybee mite) is the source of this 589-nucleotide long non-coding RNA. RefSeq lists it as uncharacterized. NCBI's taxonomy places the organism in Eukaryota, Metazoa, Arthropoda, Arachnida, Mesostigmata, Varroidae. The record is from RefSeq and is a predicted model, not a curated record.
GCUUGCCAUUCAUUUAGCGAUGUCGGUGUGUCAAUGCGAACGGUAACCGAGUGGGCUACGUCCGACACAAUUAGGCUGUGUUAUACUGUGUGAUCUGCCUGCGGGAGCGGGCUUCAACCAAGAAAAUGAAUUUGUGUACACUAUUUAAAUUAAGCAGGACCUCUAAAGGAGCCAUUUACACAGUUUUAAUCAAUGACUUCAAUCAAAGUACAUGUUUGUUCUGAUCCAGCAACGAGCUUAAAAAGCGGACGGCUCACUUCCAAUGCUCAGCAGAAACACAAAUGUGUUCCCUUUCCGUAGGAUCGAUAAAGACGCAUUUAAAGCGCCUUAAAUCAAUAUACUUAAACCGUACAGUUAAAUUAACAGAGAACACCCGUGCAGCAACGUAGCAGAUGAAUGCGCCUAAAUGAGCGUGGAGUUUCGUGCUAGUUCUGAAGACAUGUGAAGCAUGCAAAUGUGACUGUGGAAGCUUCGUGCAGUUUUUUUUAACCCUCCUUAGCGAAAAUGCUAAAAGGCAGCUCGAGAGAAAACCGGCAGGACCGAGUUUAGACAUCGAAGUGACGACGAAACGGUCUAAAAAACCUUUUGC